This 253-nucleotide ribosomal RNA is filed under the name uncultured bacterium. RNAcentral's name for it is "partial 16S ribosomal RNA". It matches the Rfam family "Bacterial small subunit ribosomal RNA", at positions 524 to 776 of the family's 1533-position model. The record is from RNAcentral.
GACAGAGGGUGCUAGCGUUGUUCGGAAUUACUGGGCGUAAAGGGCGCGUAGGCGGUCUGUUAAGUUCGGUGUGAAAUCCCCUGGCUCAACUGGGGAACUGCGCUGGAAACUGGCAGACUCGAGUACCGGAGAGGAGAGUGGAAUUCCUGGUGUAGCGGUGAAAUGCGUAGAUAUCAGGAAGAACACCAACGGCGAAGGCAGCCCGCUGGGACGGUACUGACGCUAAGGCGCGAAAGCGUGGGGAGCGAACAGG